UAUGUCCUGUAAAAAUGCUGUGUGGAAGGCAUCCCUUCCCAGCAGAUGGCAGCAAAAUGGAGAAGGUCGUUGUAAAGUGAGACAGCAGCGGACAAAAGAUUUGAGAUCUCCAACAGCCUUAGUUUCACUUGCCUGCUUUUGAAUCCAAGAGUUAAAGCAGUAGACUGACAUUACUCCAGUGUUCAUAGAUAAGUUUCCUGUCCAGCAAUUACACAAAAGAUUGGACUUCUUAUCUAGUAACAGAAUGAUGAGUUUCCAACUCUUUAGAUGUGGUAUGGGACUUAACCUCAUUCAUUCCAUGUGCAGAAGGAAAUUUUCUUUGGAAAAUUGCCCAACCCAAUGGACUUCCUUCUGAUGUCAAUAUAAACCUAAUUCUGACCUCCUUCAAUACAGUGGUCCAAACUGGACUUUCUUCUGUCCAAAGUACAUCAGUGGCAGCCGCCUGUCACAUCUUUUACCUACUGAAAUAAUGCCCAUCCCUUUCCCACAAUAAGACCAGAACGUGUCUUUUGACAUGCAUAGAUGUUAAUCAUUGAGAAAUCUCUAUAUAAUCACGGACAAGGUGUUCACAUCAGAUAUGGAAAGGAGAAAAAGUACCUGAAACCAAGAGCUUGAUCUUCAGAUUAGGUAUUUGUUCAGAAAAGGCCACCUGUCUUGCCUUUAAUAACUUGCAAAAUAACAUGCAUGAACAUAGUAAUGGUAGCAUCAACACAGGGGCAAUCAAUUGUACAGGGACAAUGCUCAGAGGCUAGUUUGUUAAAUAAUAAAUACAGAAUUGACUUUAAAAAUAUGGAAUAAAACAAGCAAUGAGCA
This is a long non-coding RNA of Candoia aspera, 813 nucleotides long. RefSeq lists it as uncharacterized. The transcript has 3 exons. The record is from RefSeq and is a predicted model, not a curated record. NCBI's taxonomy places the organism in Eukaryota, Metazoa, Chordata, Lepidosauria, Squamata, Candoiidae.